This 424-nucleotide ribosomal RNA is filed under the name uncultured bacterium. Its description in RNAcentral is "partial 16S ribosomal RNA". It matches the Rfam family "Bacterial small subunit ribosomal RNA", at positions 360 to 776 of the family's 1533-position model. The record is from RNAcentral.
AAUUUUAGACAAUGGGUGAAACCCUGAUCCAGCCAUCCCGCGUGUAUGAUGAAGGCCUUCGGGUUGUAAAGUACUUUUGGCAGAGAAGAAAAGGUAUCUCCUAAUACGAGAUACUGCUGACGGUAUCUGCAGAAUAAGAACCGGCUAACUACGUGCCAGCAGCCGCGGUAAUACGUAGGGUGCAAGGGUUAAUCGGAAUUACUGGGCGUAAAGCGCGUGUAGGCGGUUCGGAAAUAAAGCUGUGAUAUCCCAGAGCUCAACCUUGGAACUGCAUUUUUAACUGCCGAGCUAGAGUAGGUCAGAGGGGGGUAGAAUUCCACGUGUAGCAUCGAAAUGCGUAGAUAUGUGGAGGAAUACCGAUGGCGAAGGCAGCCCCCUGGGAUAAUACUGACGCUCAGACACGAAAGCGUGGGGAGCAAACAGG